UUCUUUAUGGAGAACGGAGAACCAACAGAAACAGAUCAGAUGGAACAUAAUGAUGGAUGCACACCAUUGACAAACAUCUCAAACACCAUUACUAUAGCUGAUGAAAAUGGAUCGAAAAGGCUUGGUCCAAAUGUCGAUGCUAAGGAACGUAAGAGGCAAAGGGAAAGGGAAAGAUAUGCCGCGAUGACCGUUGAACAAAAAAACGAGAAAAGUAGAAAACGUCGUGAAGCAAGCCAACGAAAUAAAGGACCUCCUAUACAGACAGAGGCAUCUAGAGUUAGUCUUUCAGAUGGCUGUAGCACAAUUGAUUUCACAAACUUUGCAACACAAGUUCCAAAUGUGAAUCGAGAUGAUGAUAGCGAUUGGUUGCAUAGGAAUGAGACAUUCAAGUCAGACGAUGUUUUCGCAACAAGAGACCUUCUGACACCAGGUACAUGACUGUUCACUCAACUAAUUUUGCAAAACAGCUGAUUUCAGGCGGUUUAACGUAUACAUGCCUUAUUCCAGGCGAUGUGCAUGAAACUGUUGGUAACACGCCUAACCAUAAUUUGGGAAGGGCUGCCUACUUUAGAGAGCGGUACAAAAACUUAACUCCAGCCGAGAGGGAGCUUAAUCGUGAA
RNAcentral lists this unclassified non-coding RNA (620 nucleotides) under Zea mays. RNAcentral's name for it is "misc RNA Zm00001eb206450". The record is from RNAcentral. Lineage: Eukaryota; Viridiplantae; Streptophyta; Magnoliopsida; Poales; Poaceae.